RNAcentral lists this unclassified non-coding RNA (305 nucleotides) under plant metagenome. RNAcentral's name for it is "partial contains 5.8S ribosomal RNA, internal transcribed spacer 2, and large subunit ribosomal RNA". The stretch from base 1 to 105 matches the Rfam family "5.8S ribosomal RNA", at positions 50 to 154 of the family's 154-position model. The record is from RNAcentral.
GAAAUGCGAUAAGUAAUGUGAAUUGCAGAAUUCAGUGACUCAUCGAAUCUUUGAACGCACAUUGCGCCCGCCAGUAUUCUGGCGGGCAUGCCUGUUCGAGCGUCAUUUCAACCAUCAAGCCCCCGGCUUGUGUUGGGGACCUGCGGCUGCCCGCAGGCCCUGAAAAACAGUGGCGGGCUCGCUGUCACACCGAGCGUAGUAGCAUACAUUCUCGCUCAGGGCGUGCUGCGGGUUCCGGCCGUUAAACGACCUUCAUAACCCAAGGUUGACCUCGGAUCAGGUAGGAAGACCCGCUGAACUUAAGC